This 543-nucleotide small RNA is filed under the name Pan troglodytes (chimpanzee). RNAcentral describes it as "retained intron". Lineage: Eukaryota; Metazoa; Chordata; Mammalia; Primates; Hominidae. The record is from RNAcentral.
GUUCCGCAAGCUCAACCACCUCCUGGAGCGCCUGCACCAGUCCUUCUUCCUCUACUUGCUCCCCGGCCUCUCCCGCUUCGUCUCCAUCGGCCUCUACAUGCCCGCUGUCGGCUUCUUGCUCCUGGUCCUUGGUCUCAAGGCUCUGGAACUGUGGAUGCAGCUGCAUGAGGCCGGAAUGGGCCUUGAGGAGCCCGGGGGUGCCCCUGGCCCCAGUGUACCCCUUCCCCCAUCACAGGUGAUGGCACCCCCUUCUGUUGUUGGAAUGGGCUUCUGGGGUCUGACUGGUGUUUAGUGUUGCAACUUAGCCUCAGCUGGUGGGAUGGUGGUGGUCUUUGGGGAUCCCCUGGCCCCAGGGUCCAUCUCCAAGAGUCUGUGUGCCCUGCAGGGUGUGGGGCUGGCCUCGCUCGUGGCACCUCUGCUGAUCUCGCAGGCCAUGGGACUGGCCCUCUAUGUCCUGCCAGUGCUGGGCCAACACGUUGCCACCCAGCACUUCCCAGUGGCAGAGGCUGAGGCUGUGGUGCUGACACUGCUGGCGAUUUAUGC